GAUGAACGCUAGCGGCAGGCCUAACACAUGCAAGUCGAACGGUAACAGGAAAAAGCUUGCUUUUUUGCUGACGAGUGGCGCACGGGUGCGUAACGCGUAUACAAUCUACCUUUUACAGUGGGAUAGCCUUUAGAAAUGAAGAUUAAUACCGCAUAGUAUGGUGACUUGGCAUCAAGAUAUCAUUAAAGAUUUAUCGGUAAAAGAUGAGUAUGCGUUCUAUUAGCUAGAUGGUAAGGUAACGGCUUACCAUGGCAACGAUAGAUAGGGGCCCUGAGAGGGGGAUCCCCCACACUGGUACUGAGACACGGACCAG
RNAcentral lists this ribosomal RNA (313 nucleotides) under uncultured Winogradskyella sp. RNAcentral describes it as "bacterial SSU rRNA". It matches the Rfam family "Bacterial small subunit ribosomal RNA", at positions 28 to 334 of the family's 1533-position model. The record is from RNAcentral. Lineage: Bacteria; Pseudomonadati; Bacteroidota; Flavobacteriia; Flavobacteriales; Flavobacteriaceae.